UACGGGGGGUGCAAACGUUGCUCGGAAUUAUUGGGCGUAAAGCGCACGUAGGCGGUCUUGUAAGUCGGGUGUGAAAGCCCGGGGCUUAACCCCGGAAGUGCAUACGAAACUGCAAGGCUUGAGUAUGGAAGAGGGUCUCGGAAUUCCCGGUGUAGAGGUGAAAUUCGUAGAUAUCGGGAGGAACACCAGUGGCGAAGGCGGAGACCUGGGCCAAUACUGACGCUGAGGUGCGAAAGCGUGGGGAGCAAACAGG
This 253-nucleotide ribosomal RNA is filed under the name uncultured bacterium. Its description in RNAcentral is "partial 16S ribosomal RNA". It matches the Rfam family "Bacterial small subunit ribosomal RNA", at positions 524 to 776 of the family's 1533-position model. The record is from RNAcentral.